UGGAUCAAAGCCAGUUGAUUAAGGUAUUUAGCUGUUAACUAAAUUUUCAUGGGUUUAAUUCCCAUUGGUCUAG
This 73-nucleotide transfer RNA is filed under the name Allenopithecus nigroviridis (Allen's swamp monkey). Its description in RNAcentral is "tRNA-Asn". It matches the Rfam family "tRNA". Rfam says of the family: Transfer RNA (tRNA) molecules are approximately 80 nucleotides in length. Their secondary structure includes four short double-helical elements and three loops (D, anti-codon, and T loops). Further hydrogen bonds mediate the characteristic L-shaped molecular structure. tRNAs have two regions of fundamental functional importance: the anti-codon, which is responsible for specific mRNA codon recognition, and the 3' end, to which the tRNAs corresponding amino acid is attached (by aminoacyl-tRNA synthetases). tRNAs cope with the degeneracy of the genetic code in two manners: having more than one tRNA (with a specific anti-codon) for a particular amino acid; and 'wobble' base-pairing, i.e. permitting non-standard base-pairing at the 3rd anti-codon position. The record is from RNAcentral. Lineage: Eukaryota; Metazoa; Chordata; Mammalia; Primates; Cercopithecidae.